RNAcentral lists this ribosomal RNA (429 nucleotides) under Bacteroidota bacterium. RNAcentral's name for it is "Bacteroidetes bacterium partial 16S ribosomal RNA". It matches the Rfam family "Bacterial small subunit ribosomal RNA", at positions 355 to 776 of the family's 1533-position model. The record is from RNAcentral. Lineage: Bacteria; Pseudomonadati; Bacteroidota.
UAGGGAAUCUUCGGCAAUGGGGGGAACCCUGACCGAGCAACGCCGCGUGAGUGAAGAAGGUUUUCGGAUCGUAAAGCUCUGUUGUUAAGGAAGAACGAGUGUGAGAAUGGAAAGUUCAUACUGUGACGGUACUUAACCAGAAAGGGACGGCUAACUACGUGCCAGCAGCCGCGGUAAUACGUAGGUCCCGAGCGUUGUCCGGAUUUAUUGGGCGUAAAGCGAGCGCAGGCGGUUAGAUAAGUCUGAAGUUAAAGGCAGUGGCUCAACCAUUGUAGGCUUUGGAAACUGUUUAACUUGAGUGCAGAAGGGGAGAGUGGAAUUCCAUGUGUAGCGGUGAAAUGCGUAGAUAUAUGGAGGAACACCGGUGGCGAAAGCGGCUCUCUGGUCUGUAACUGACGCUGAGGCCCGAAAGCGUGGGGAGCGAACAGG